RNAcentral lists this ribosomal RNA (935 nucleotides) under Plasmodium coatneyi. Its description in RNAcentral is "SSU rRNA". It matches the Rfam family "Eukaryotic small subunit ribosomal RNA", at positions 181 to 1051 of the family's 1831-position model. Lineage: Eukaryota; Apicomplexa; Aconoidasida; Haemosporida; Plasmodiidae. The record is from RNAcentral.
CGCUCUUGACCUCGCGUCUUGAGUGUGUACUUGUUAAGCCUUAUAAGAAAAAAGUUAUUAACUUAAGGAAUUAUAACAAAGAAGUGACACGUAAUGGAUUCAUCCAUUUUUAGUGUGUAUCAAUCGAGUUUCUGACCUAUCAGCUUUUGAUGUUAGGGUAUUGGCCUAACAUGGCUAUGACGGGUAACGGGGAAUUAGAGUUCGAUUCCGGAGAGGGAGCCUGAGAAAUAGCUACCACAUCUAAGGAAGGCAGCAGGCGCGUAAAUUACCCAAUUCUAAAGAAGAGAGGUAGUGACAAGAAAUAACAAUACAAGGCCAAUCUGGCUUUGUAAUUGGAAUGAUGGGAAUUUAAAACCUUCCCAAAAUACAAUUGGAGGGCAAGUCUGGUGCCAGCAGCCGCGGUAAUUCCAGCUCCAAUAGCGUAUAUUAAAAUUGUUGCAGUUAAAACGCUCGUAGUUGAAUUUCAAAGGAUCGAUAUUUUAAGUAACGCUUUUAGCUUAAAUCCACAUAACAGACACUUCGUGUCGACUUUGUGCGCAUUUUCGCUAUUAUGUGUUCUUUUAAUUAAAAUGAUUCUUUUUAAAUCUCUAAUAAUUGCUUCGGCAUUUUUGGGGAUUUGUUACUUUGAGUAAAUUAGAGUGUUCAAAGCAAACAGAUAUAGCAUUUGUGCGUUUGAAUACUACAGCAUGGAAUAACAAAAUUGAACAAGUCAAAAUUUUUGUUCUUUUUUCUUAUUUUGGCUUAGUUACGAUUAAUAGGAGUAGCUUGGGGGCAUUUGUAUUCAGAUGUCAGAGGUGAAAUUCUUAGAUUUUCUGGAGACAAACAACUGCGAAAGCAUUUGCCUAAAAUACUUCCAUUAAUCAAGAACGAAAGUUAAGGGAGUGAAGACGAUCAGAUACCGUCGUAAUCUUAACCAUAAACUAUGCCGACUAGGC